Molecule: ribosomal RNA, 396 nt
Filed under: uncultured Rothia sp.
Lineage: Bacteria; Bacillati; Actinomycetota; Actinomycetes; Micrococcales; Micrococcaceae
Description: bacterial SSU rRNA
Rfam family: Bacterial small subunit ribosomal RNA
Source: RNAcentral
AACGCGAAGAACCUUACCAAGGCUUGACAUAUACUGGACCGCAUCAGAGAUGGUGUUUCCCUUCGGGGCUGGUAUACAGGUGGUGCAUGGUUGUCGUCAGCUCGUGUCGUGAGAUGUUGGGUUAAGUCCCGCAACGAGCGCAACCCUCGUUCUAUGUUGCCAGCAUGUUAUGGUGGGGACUCAUAGGGGACUGCCGGGGUCAACUCGGAGGAAGGUGGGGAUGACGUCAAAUCAUCAUGCCCCUUAUGUCUUGGGCUUCACGCAUGCUACAAUGGCCGGUACAGAGGGUUGCGAUACUGUGAGGUGGAGCUAAUCCCUAAAAGCCGGUCUCAGUUCGGAUUGGGGUCUGCAACUCGACCCCAUGAAGUCGGAGUCGCUAGUAAUCGCAGAUCAGCA